UACGUAGGGUGCAAGCGUUGUCCGGAAUUAUUGGGCGUAAAGAGCUCGUAGGUGGCUCGUUGCGUCGGGAGUGAAAACCUGCGGCUUAACCGCAGGCCUGCUUCCGAUACGGGCGAGCUAGAGUUCCGGCAGGGGGAGACUGGAAUUCCCUGGUGUAGCGGGUGGAAUGCGCAGAUAUCAGGAGGAACGCCGGUGGCGAAGGCGGGUCUCUGGGCCGAUACUGACACUGAGAAGCGAAAGCGUGGGGAGCGAACAGG
This 257-nucleotide ribosomal RNA is filed under the name uncultured bacterium. RNAcentral's name for it is "partial 16S ribosomal RNA". It matches the Rfam family "Bacterial small subunit ribosomal RNA", at positions 524 to 776 of the family's 1533-position model. The record is from RNAcentral.